Molecule: transfer RNA, 90 nt
Filed under: Candidatus Omnitrophota bacterium
Lineage: Bacteria; Pseudomonadati; Candidatus Omnitrophota
Description: Candidatus Omnitrophica bacterium tRNA-Ser
Rfam family: tRNA
About the family: Transfer RNA (tRNA) molecules are approximately 80 nucleotides in length.
Source: RNAcentral
GGAGGAGUGCCAGAGCGGUUGAAUGGGGCGGUCUCGAAAACCGUUAGGUCCGCAAGGGUCUCGAGGGUUCGAAUCCUUCCUCCUCCGCCA